AGCGAACGCUGGCGGCAGGCUUAACACAUGCAAGUCAAACGCAUCCUUCGGGGUGAGUGGCAGACGGGUGAGUAACACGUGGGAACGUACCCUUCGAUCUGGGAUAACUUCGGGAAACUGGAGCUAAUACCGGAUACGCCCUUUUGGGGAAAGGUUUACUGUCGAAGGAUCGGCCCGCGUCUGAUUAGCUAGUUGGUGGGGUAACGGCCUACCAAGGCGACGAUCAGUAGCUGGUCUGAGAGGAUGAUCAGCCACACUGGGACUGAGACACGGCCCAGACUCCUACGGGAGGCAGCAGUGGGGAAUAUUGGACAAUGGGCGCAAGCCUGAUCCAGCCAUGCCGCGUGAGUGAUGAAGGCCUUAGGGUUGUAAAGCUCUUUUGUCCGGGACGAUAAUGACGGUACCGGAAGAAUAAGCCCCGGCUAACUUCGUG
RNAcentral lists this ribosomal RNA (433 nucleotides) under uncultured bacterium. RNAcentral describes it as "partial 16S ribosomal RNA". It matches the Rfam family "Bacterial small subunit ribosomal RNA", at positions 29 to 507 of the family's 1533-position model. The record is from RNAcentral.